GACGAACGCUGGCGGCGUGCUUAACACAUGCAAGUCGAACGGAAAGGCCCUGCUUUUGUGGGGUGCUCGAGUGGCGAACGGGUGAGUAACACGUGAGUAACCUGCCCUUGACUUUGGGAUAACUUCAGGAAACUGGGGCUAAUAACGGAUAGGAGCUCCUGCUGCAUGGUGGGGGUUGGAAAGUUUCGGCGGUUGGGGAUGGACUCGCGGCUUAUCAGCCUGUUGGUGGGGUAGUGGCUUACCAAGGCUUUGACGGGUAGCCGGCCUGAGAGGGUGACCGGCCACAUUGGGACUGAGAUGCGGCCCAGACUCCUACUGGAGGCAGCAGUGGGGAAUAUUGCACAAUGGGCGGAAGCCUGAUGCAGCAACGCCGCGUGCGGGAUGACGGCCUUCGGGUUGUAAACCGCUUUCGCCUGUGACGAAGCGUGAGUGACGGUAAUGUGUAAAGAAGCACCGGCUAACUACGUG
RNAcentral lists this ribosomal RNA (468 nucleotides) under uncultured bacterium. RNAcentral's name for it is "partial 16S ribosomal RNA". It matches the Rfam family "Bacterial small subunit ribosomal RNA", at positions 28 to 507 of the family's 1533-position model. The record is from RNAcentral.